ACCUCAAAUCAGGUAG
Molecule: ribosomal RNA, 16 nt
Filed under: Calostoma fuscum
Lineage: Eukaryota; Fungi; Basidiomycota; Agaricomycetes; Boletales; Calostomataceae
Description: partial 25S ribosomal RNA
Source: RNAcentral